RNAcentral lists this long non-coding RNA (746 nucleotides) under Physcomitrium patens. RNAcentral's name for it is "long non-coding RNA (PPAT_LNC013417)". The record is from RNAcentral. Lineage: Eukaryota; Viridiplantae; Streptophyta; Bryopsida; Funariales; Funariaceae.
UUUAUAUCGUAGUAUUUGUGGUGGAGAAGUUGUGGUUGUGGGUAGGGAGAAAUGGCGAAUCUGAUGAGUGAGCUCGAGAGGUUCGAGCAGGAGAUGAAGGACCUUGGAUCAGAGACUUCGCAAUUGCUUCCACCUCCUCCUCCUCCUCCUCCUCGCGUUGGAAUAAGAGGUCAUCUACCUCCACUUCCUCCCCCACCACCUGUGAGUAUCUCUCAUCCUUUGAUUGCCUACGGAAUUUGAAGAGCUUUGUUGGUGUGUGUGUGUAUAUAUACAACGUUAUUUACGAUGUCUUUAGGUUUUGGAUUUUGUUAUUACUAGCAUCAUGGUUGUAAAGGUUUAGAUGAUCGUCGUUUUUAGGUUGUCGUAUUUUUCACUUCAUUGGUCUUCUUUGUAGAUUGUUGGACCAACGGCUAACACACCUACGACUGCUUUUUUGGUGCCUCCGCCACCCCCGCCCCGUUUGACACCCGCGGGAACUCUCGUUGCUCCGCCACAACCUGCUCCCCGCGGACCUUCUUCAGCAGUGGCUCCCACAUUACCUCUCCCACCUCCGCCUCCUUCGUCUGGACCCCAAUAUUCCUAUCCUGCUACCUCGGCAGCACCCUCGUAUGCCCCAGCCCCACCUCCUCCUCCUCCUGCUGCGACGAGUUCUUAUUUCCCGGUUCCUUUUCAUUUACAGCAACAAUAUCAAGCACCACCACAGCAAUAUAAUCCAGCUUCACAAACUACGUAUCAAGCACAGCCUC